RNAcentral lists this transfer RNA (86 nucleotides) under Gemella haemolysans ATCC 10379. Its description in RNAcentral is "tRNA-Tyr". It matches the Rfam family "tRNA". From Rfam's summary of the family: Transfer RNA (tRNA) molecules are approximately 80 nucleotides in length. Lineage: Bacteria; Bacillati; Bacillota; Bacilli; Caryophanales; Gemellaceae. The record is from RNAcentral.
UGGGAAGAUAGCGAAGAGGCUAAACGCGGCGGACUGUAAAUCCGCUCCUUCGGGUUCAGUGGUUCGAAUCCACUUCUUCCCACCAU